This 1310-nucleotide ribosomal RNA is filed under the name bacterium endosymbiont of Hemiowoodwardia wilsoni. RNAcentral's name for it is "bacterial LSU rRNA". It matches the Rfam family "Bacterial large subunit ribosomal RNA", at positions 3 to 1303 of the family's 2925-position model. The record is from RNAcentral.
UUAAGUAAUUAAGCGCACAUGAUGGAUGCCUAGGCAGCCAUAAACUAUGAAAGACGUUAUAGCCUGCGAUAAGCGUCGGGUAAAUGGCAUAUAAUUUAUGAUCCGAUGAUUUCUGAAUGGGGAAACCUAUCGAUUUUUAUCGAUGUUUACAAAUAAAAACAUAGUUUGUAUUCGAUAACCGAGAAAACUGAAACAUCUAAGUAUCUCGAGGAAAAUAUAUCAAAAGAUAUUCCCUUAGUAGUGGCGAGCGAAUUGGGAAAAGUCCUAAAAAUAAUAUAUUAUUUUUAAUAUUAAUUAAUUUUGAUAAAUUAAUUGGUUUGAAUACCAAACCAUAGAAGGUGAUAGUCCUGUAAUUAAAAUCAAUUUAUUAUUAAAUUGAGUAUAUUGGGACACGUGUAAUCCUGAUAGAAUAUGGGGGGACCAUCCUCCAAGACUAAAUACUUAUGGUUGACCGAUAGUGAACUAGUACCGUGAGGGAAAGGUGAAAAGUACCCCUGUUAGGGCAGUGAAAUAGAUUCUGAAAUCAUGUGCGUACAAGCAGUAGUAGCAAUAUAAUUAAAUAAUAUAAAUUUUUUAUGUGACUGCGUACCUUUUGUAUAAUGGGUCAGCGACUUAUUUUCGGUAGCUAGCUUAACUAUAUAAGGUAGGCAUAGGGAAACCGAGUCUAAAAUGGGCAAUAAAGUUUCCGAAAAUAGACCCGAAACCGGGCGAUCUAUCCAUGAGUAGGUUGAAAGUUAAGUAAUAUUAACUGAAGGACCGAACCGGGAUCUGUUGAAAAAGAUCCGGAUGACUUGUGGAUAGGAGUGAAAGGCUAAUCAAGCUCGGAGAUAGCUGGUUCUCCUCGAAAGCUAUUUAGGUAGCGCCUCACAUAUCUUCGUUGGGGGUAUAGCACUGUUUCGAAUAAGGGGUCAUACCGGCUUACUAAAUCGAUGCAAACUUAAAAUACCAGCGAUUGCAAUGUGGGAGACACACUAUGGGUGCUAACAUCCUUAGUGGAAAGGGAAAAAACCCAGAUCGUCAGCUAAGGUCCCUAAAUUAUGGUUAAGUGGAAAACGAUGUAAGAAGGCAAAAACAGCUAGGAGGUUAGCUUAGAAGCAGCUAUCCUUUAAAGAAAGCGUAACAGCUCACUAGUCUAGUCAUCUUGCGCGGAAGAUAUAACGGGGCUUAAAUCAUAUACCGAAGCUACGAGUUUAAUAAUAAAAUUUUUACUAUUUAUAUUUUUAUUAUUAAGCGGUAGAGGAGCGUUGUGUAAAUUUUAGAAGGUUUAUUGUAAAGUAAACUGGAGAUAUCACAAGUGCGAAUGCUGACAU